UAGGGAAUCUUCCGCAAUGGACGCAAGUCUGACGGAGCAACGCCGCGUGAGUGAAGAAGGAUUUCGGUUCGUAAAACUCUGUUGUUAGAGAAGAACAGCGCAUAGAGUAACUGUUAUGCGUGUGACGGUAUCUAACCAGAAAGCCACGGCUAACUACGUGCCAGCAGCCGCGGUAAUACGUAAGGUCCGAGCGUUGUCCGGAAUCAUUGGGCGUAAAGGGUACGUAGGCGGGUAAGCAAGUUAGAAGUGAAAUCCUAUAGCUCAACUAUAGUAAGCUUUUAAAACUGCUCAUCUUGAGGUAUGGAAGGGAAAGUGGAAUUCCUAGUGUAGCGGUGAAAUGCGCAGAUAUUAGGAGGAAUACCGGUGGCGAAGGCGACUUUCUGGCCAUAAUCUGACGCUGAGGUACGAAAGCGUGGGUAGCAAACAGG
This 428-nucleotide ribosomal RNA is filed under the name Bacteroidota bacterium. RNAcentral describes it as "Bacteroidetes bacterium partial 16S ribosomal RNA". It matches the Rfam family "Bacterial small subunit ribosomal RNA", at positions 355 to 776 of the family's 1533-position model. Lineage: Bacteria; Pseudomonadati; Bacteroidota. The record is from RNAcentral.